RNAcentral lists this ribosomal RNA (254 nucleotides) under uncultured bacterium. RNAcentral describes it as "partial 16S ribosomal RNA". It matches the Rfam family "Bacterial small subunit ribosomal RNA", at positions 524 to 776 of the family's 1533-position model. The record is from RNAcentral.
UACGUAGGGUGCGAGCGUUGUCCGGAAUUAUUGGGCGUAAAGAGCUCGUAGGCGGUGUGUCACGUCGUUCGUGAAAACCUGCAGCUUAACUGUGGGCGUGCGGUCGAUACGGGCAUCACUGGAGUUCGGCAGGGGAGACUGGAAUUCCUGGUGUAGCGGUGAAAUGCGCAGAUAUCAGGAGGAACACCGGUGGCGAAGGCGGGUCUCUGGGCCGAUACUGACACUGAGGAGCGAAAGCCAGGGGAGCAAACGGG